UACCUACGGGACGCAGCAGUGGGGAAUAUUGCACAAUGGGGGAAACCCUGAUGCAGCAACGCCGCGUGAGUGAAGAAGUAUUUCGGUAUGUAAAGCUCUAUCAGCAGGGAAGAAGAUGACGGUACCUGACCAAGAAGCCCCGGCUAACUACGUGCCAGCAGCCGCGGUAAUACGUAGGGGGCAAGCGUUAUCCGGAUUUACUGGGUGUAAAGGGUGAGUAGGCGGCAUGGUAAGCCAGAUGUGAAAGCCUUGGGCUUAACCCGAGGAUUGCAUUUGGAACUAUCAAGCUAGAGU
RNAcentral lists this ribosomal RNA (294 nucleotides) under uncultured bacterium. RNAcentral describes it as "partial 16S ribosomal RNA". It matches the Rfam family "Bacterial small subunit ribosomal RNA", at positions 335 to 647 of the family's 1533-position model. The record is from RNAcentral.